Molecule: ribosomal RNA, 357 nt
Filed under: uncultured bacterium
Lineage: Bacteria
Description: partial 16S ribosomal RNA
Source: RNAcentral
GGAGUCUGGGCCGUGUCUCAGUCCCAGUCUGGAUGAUCAUCUUCUCAAACCAUCUAACGAUCGUCGACUUGGUAGGCCAUUACCCUACCAACUAUCUAAUCGUACGCAGGCCAGUCCCAAAGCGCAAAAGCUUUAAUCCGAAGAUCACAUGCGGUAUUAGCCACUCUUUCGAGUAGUUAUCCCUCACUUUGGGGUCCGUUCCCACGCGUUACUCAGCCGUCCGCCGCUCGUCAGCAGAAUUCCACGGUUCCCUCGAAGUCAACAACCUACGAUAAAGCGCUAGGUGUGUCAAGGAAACGGUGGAAUUCCCUGUUACCGCUCGACUUGCAUGUAUUAGGCACGCCGCCAGCAUUCAUC